GCCAAGAGCCCCCGCCAGCUGGAGGUGUCGCUGGCGCCUGCAUCCUCGGCAGCUGGCCUCCGGCUCACCAGAAUACCUGGGGCCUGCAGUAAUGGCCUUCCUCCCUCCUGUCCCUGGGCCAAGGCCUGGGAGGCGGCUCUGUUUGGGCGGCUGUCUCGCUGGGCCAUGAGUGCGGCUUUGGAGUAAGGCAGCAGCACUGCAGGCAGGGAGGAAACCGCAGCCGGACGGCAGAGCCUCCCGCGUCAGCCCGGGAACCCUGCGGAUCUAACAUGCAAACAACAAGCUUUGUGUCCCGGCAGCGACUCUCACUGGGACGCCUGCAUCUCUUCCUCUGCAUCCCAGGGCUCAGCCGAUGCCAUGGAUCCCCGGCCUCCCCAUCUGGCCACCGCACUCUGGCACCUGCCCUGCAGGUGACUGCAACUAGCUCCUGAAAUUUCUCAACACUGAAGAAGCAGGUCUCAGGCGUCAAGAGAAGCCGGCUGGGUCCAGAGGUGUGGCCGUGGUCCUCUGGGCAGACGUGAGCGAGACCAGGAGGUGCAGUGUCACCGUCCCUUUCCAGCUGCACCUGUGUGCUCCCAGGACCCCCUGCCCGGUGGGCUCUCCCCUCGCCGGCCUCACGGUGCCGCACAUGCUGGGGUUUGCAUUCUCUCCUGCGCAGUCCACCCCUCUUACCUGCCGGUUCCCGAGGCUCUUCCUGUUUCCUGGGUUCCUCAGGUCCCCCGUGUUGUUUCAG
This 733-nucleotide long non-coding RNA is filed under the name Canis lupus familiaris (dog). Its description in RNAcentral is "lncRNA (ENSCAFG00000052423.1, ENSCAFG00845000062.1)". The record is from RNAcentral. Lineage: Eukaryota; Metazoa; Chordata; Mammalia; Carnivora; Canidae.